UCUCUGGUGGCUCAGAUGGUAAAGAAUCUGCCUGCAAUGCAGGAGACCCAGGUUUGAUCCCUGGGUGGGGAA
RNAcentral lists this transfer RNA (72 nucleotides) under Ovis aries (sheep). It matches the Rfam family "tRNA". From Rfam's summary of the family: Transfer RNA (tRNA) molecules are approximately 80 nucleotides in length. Their secondary structure includes four short double-helical elements and three loops (D, anti-codon, and T loops). Lineage: Eukaryota; Metazoa; Chordata; Mammalia; Artiodactyla; Bovidae. The record is from Rfam by way of RNAcentral.